CUGGAGGUAUCAGAAGUGCGAAUGCUGACAUAAGUAACGAUAAAGCGGGUGAAAAGCCCGCUCGCCGGAAGACCAAGGGUUCCUGUCCAACGUUAAUCGGGGCAGGGUGAGUCGACCCCUAAGGCGAGGCCGAAAGGCGUAGUCGAUGGGAAACAGGUUAAUAUUCCUGUACUUGGUGUUACUGCGAAGGGGGGACGGAGAAGGCUAUGUUGGCCGGGCGACGGUUGUCCCGGUUUAAGCGUGUAGGCUGGUUUUCCAGGCAAAUCCGGAAAAUCAAGGCUGAGGCGUGAUGACGAGGCACUACGGUGCUGAAGCAACAAAUGCCCUGCUUCCAGGAAAAGCCUCUAAGCAUCAGGUAACAUCAAAUCGUACCCCAAACCGACACAGGUGGUCAGGUAGAGAAUACCAAGGCGCUUGAGAGAACUCGGGUGAAGGAACUAGGCAAAAUGGUGCCGUAACUUCGGGAGAAGGCACGCUGAUAUGUAGGUGAAGCGACUUGCUCGUGGAGCUGAAAUCAGUCGAAGAUACCAGCUGGCUGCAACUGUUUAUUAAAAA
This 555-nucleotide ribosomal RNA is filed under the name Escherichia coli. RNAcentral describes it as "partial 23S ribosomal RNA". It matches the Rfam family "Bacterial large subunit ribosomal RNA", at positions 1273 to 1813 of the family's 2925-position model. Lineage: Bacteria; Pseudomonadati; Pseudomonadota; Gammaproteobacteria; Enterobacterales; Enterobacteriaceae. The record is from RNAcentral.